GGACGCUGCGCGGCGCCGCCUCUGCCUGCCCGAGGAGCCGCUUUGCUGCGGGAGCCGCGCUCCGCCCGCUGCCGGGAGCGCGGCUUCUCAUUUUCCCGAGCUCCUCGCUCGUAGCGGUUUUGAGGCGGUUUUGAGGAAUUGACGGGAUCGUUUUCUUGUGUGCGCCGCCGUGGUGUACUUCUCGGUUGUUACGGUUCUUGCUUCAGAUGCCGUGGAUAUGCUGGCUGUUCUGAUGGAGGGCACUGAUGGCUCAGGUGAAGAAAUUGGGCUCUCUUGAAAUGAAGACGUGAUUAUCCAAGCAUUUCCCUCCAGUGCUGUUGUCCCUGCUGCAUUAAAAGCCAGGAAUAUACUGUUGCUUCUGUCUGAAAAUGGAACAGGAGCAGGCGUCGUGGAGUACCUUGGUGCUGUUUUCACUGACCUCCUGCGCUCUCCGAGAGAGCCCCUCGCUCUCU
RNAcentral lists this long non-coding RNA (452 nucleotides) under Chloebia gouldiae (Gouldian finch). RNAcentral's name for it is "Erythrura gouldiae (Gouldian finch) lncRNA (ENSEGOG00005016233.1)". Lineage: Eukaryota; Metazoa; Chordata; Aves; Passeriformes; Passeridae. The record is from RNAcentral.